UCUGAUGCAGCACGCCGCGUGGAGGAUGACGCAUUUCGGUGUGUAAACUCCUUUUAUAAGGGAAGAUAAUGACGGUACCUUAUGAAUAAGCACCGGCUAACUCCGUGCCAGCAGCCGCGGUAAUACGGAGGGUGCAAGCGUUACUCGGAAUCACUGGGCGUAAAGGAUGCGUAGGCUGGAAAUCAAGUCGAGAGUGAAAUCCAACGGCUCAACCGUUGAACUGCUCUCGAAACUGGUUACCUAGAAUAUGGGAGAGGUAGAUGGAAUUGGUGGUGUAGGGGUAAAAUCCGUAGAUAUCACCAGGAAUACCGAUUGCGAAGGCGAUCUACUGGAACAUUAUUGACGCUGAGGCAUGAAAGCGUGGGGAGCAAACAGGAUUAGAUACCCUGGUAGUCCACGCCCUAAACGAUGCACACUAGUUGUUGCGAUGCUAGUCAUUGCAGUAAUGCACUUAACAGAUUAAGUGUGCCGCCUGGGGAGUACGGUCGCAAGAUUAAAACUCAAAGGAAUAGACGGGGACCCGCACAAGCGGUGGAGCAUGUGGUUUAAUUCGAAGAUACACGAAGAACCUUACCUGGCCUUGAUAUCCUAAGAAUCCUUUAGAGAUAAGGGAGUGCUAGUUUACUAGAACUUAGAGACAGGUGCUGCACGGCUGUCGUCAGCUCGUGUCGUGAGAUGUUGGGUUAAGUCCCGCAACGAGCGCAACCCUCGUGAUUAGUUGCUAACAGUUCGGCUGAGCACUCUAAUCAGACUGCCUUCGCAAGGAGGAGGAAGGUGAGGACGACGUCAAGUCAUCAUGGCCCUUAUGGCCAGGGCUACACACGUGCUACAAUGGCUAGGACAAAGAGACGCGAUACUGCGAAGUGGAGCAAAUCUUAAAACCUAGUCUCAGUUCGGAUUGGAGUCUGCAACUCGACUCCAUGAAGCUGGAAUCGCUAGUAAUCGUAGAUCAGAUAUGCUACGGUGAAUACGUUCCCGGUCUUGUACUCACCGCCCGUCACACCAUGGGAGUUGAUUCACCCGAAGCCGGAAUACUAAACUAGUACGACACGUGGUCAGCGACUGGGGU
This 1069-nucleotide ribosomal RNA is filed under the name uncultured Sulfurospirillum sp. Its description in RNAcentral is "bacterial SSU rRNA". It matches the Rfam family "Bacterial small subunit ribosomal RNA", at positions 382 to 1481 of the family's 1533-position model. The record is from RNAcentral. Lineage: Bacteria; Pseudomonadati; Campylobacterota; Epsilonproteobacteria; Campylobacterales; Sulfurospirillaceae.